This 969-nucleotide ribosomal RNA is filed under the name Trigonopterus sp. 895 AR-2022a. RNAcentral describes it as "SSU rRNA". It matches the Rfam family "Eukaryotic small subunit ribosomal RNA", at positions 23 to 931 of the family's 1831-position model. Lineage: Eukaryota; Metazoa; Arthropoda; Insecta; Coleoptera; Curculionidae. The record is from RNAcentral.
GUCAUAUGCUUGUCUCAAAGAUUAAGCCAUGCAUGUCUCAGUACAAGCCAAAUUAAGGUGAAACCGCGAAAGGCUCAUUAAAUCAGUUAUGGUUCCUUAGAUCGUACCCACAAUUACUUGGAUAACUGUGGUAAUUCUAGAGCUAAUACAUGCAAAUAGAGUUCCGACCGGAGACGGAAGGAGUGCUUUUAUUAGAUCAAAACCAAUCGGUGGCGAGCGGUCGCUCGUUAUCGUACAACUUGGUGACUCUGAAUAACUUUACGCUGAUCGCACGGUCGUCGCACCGGCGACGCAUCUUUCAAAUGUCUGCCUUAUCAACUGUCGAUGGUAGGUUCUGCGCCUACCAUGGUUGUAACGGGUAACGGGGAAUCAGGGUUCGAUUCCGGAGAGGGAGCCUGAGAAACGGCUACCACAUCCAAGGAAGGCAGCAGGCGCGCAAAUUACCCACUCCCGGCACGGGGAGGUAGUGACGAAAAAUAACGAUACGGGACUCAUCCGAGGCCCCGUAAUCGGAAUGAGUACACUCUAAACCCUUUAACGAGGAUCAAUUGGAGGGCAAGUCUGGUGCCAGCAGCCGCGGUAAUUCCAGCUCCAAUAGCGUAUAUUAAAGUUGUUGCGGUUAAAAAGCUCGUAGUCGAAUUUGUGUCUCGCGCCGCCGGUUCAUCGUCCGCGGUGUUAACUGGCGAGUCGCGAGACGUCCUGCCGGUGGGCUUAGCUCGCGAGGGCGGCCCAACUCAAUCCUGCCGCGGUGCUCUUCAUUGAGUGUCGAGGUGGGCCGGCACGUUUACUUUGAACAAAUUAGAGUGCUUAAAGCAGGCUAAAACUUCGCCUGAAUACUGUGUGCAUGGAAUAAUGGAAUAGGACCUCGGUUCUAUUUUGUUGGUUUUCGGAACCCCGAGGUAAUGAUUAAUAGGAACGGAUGGGGGCAUUCGUAUUGCGACGUUAGAGGUGAAAUUCUUGGAUCGUCGC